This 199-nucleotide ribosomal RNA is filed under the name Escherichia coli. Its description in RNAcentral is "partial 23S ribosomal RNA". It matches the Rfam family "Bacterial large subunit ribosomal RNA", at positions 2744 to 2925 of the family's 2925-position model. Lineage: Bacteria; Pseudomonadati; Pseudomonadota; Gammaproteobacteria; Enterobacterales; Enterobacteriaceae. The record is from RNAcentral.
GGUAGCUAAAUGCAGAAGAGAUAAGGGCUGAAAGCAUCUAAGCACGAAACUUGCCACUAGAUGAGUUCUCCCUGACUCCUUGAGAGUCCUGAAGGAACGUUGAAGACGACGACGUUGAUAGGCCGGGUGUGUAAGCGCAGCGAUGCGUUGAGCUAACCGGUACUAAUGAACCGUGAGGCUUAACCUUACAACGCCGAAG